RNAcentral lists this ribosomal RNA (484 nucleotides) under uncultured bacterium. Its description in RNAcentral is "partial 16S ribosomal RNA". It matches the Rfam family "Bacterial small subunit ribosomal RNA", at positions 29 to 507 of the family's 1533-position model. The record is from RNAcentral.
AGUGAACGCUGGCGGCAGGCCUAACACAUGCAAGUCGAGCGGCAGCGCGGGGGCAACCCUGGCGGCGAGCGGCGGACGGGUGAGGAAUUCGUCGGAAUCUGCCUUUUUGUGGGGGAUAACGUAGGGAAACUUACGCUAAUACCGCAUACGUCCUACGGGAGAAAGUGGGGGACCGCAAGGCCUCACGCAGAAAGAUGAGCCGACGACCGAUUAGCUAGUUGGUGGGGUAAAGGCCCACCAAGGCGACGAUCGGUAGCUGGUCUGAGAGGAUGAUCAGCCACACUGGGACUGAGACACGGCCCAGACUCCUACGGGAGGCAGCAGUGGGGAAUAUUGGACAAUGGGCGCAAGCCUGAUCCAGCCAUGCCGCGUGUGUGAAGAAGGCCUUCGGGUUGUAAAGCACUUUUGUCCGGAAAGAAAACCCUGGAGCUAAUACCUUCGGGGGAUGACGGUACCGGAAGAAUAAGCACCGGCUAACUUCGUG